RNAcentral lists this ribosomal RNA (352 nucleotides) under uncultured bacterium. RNAcentral's name for it is "bacterial SSU rRNA". It matches the Rfam family "Bacterial small subunit ribosomal RNA", at positions 8 to 350 of the family's 1533-position model. The record is from RNAcentral.
AGAGUUUGAUCCUGGCUCAGGAUGAACGCUAGCUACAGGCUUAACACAUGCAAGUCGAGGGGCAGCAUGAUUGAAGCUUGCUUCAAUUGACGGCGACCGGCGCACGGGUGAGUAACGCGUAUCCAACCUUCCGUACACUCAGGGAUAGCCUUUCGAAAGAAAGAUUAAUACCUGAUGGUAUGAUGAGAUUGCAUGAUAGCAUCAUUAAAGAUUUAUCGGUGUACGAUGGGGAUGCGUUCCAGUUAGGUAGUAGGCGGGGUAAUGGCCCACCUAGCCGACGAUGGAUAGGGGUUCUGAGAGGAAGGUCCCCCANAUUGGAACUGAGACACGGUCCAAACUCCUACGGGAGGCA